UGGGGAAUCUUGCGCAAUGGCCGAAAGGCUGACGCAGCGACGCCGCGUGGGGGAUGAAGGCCUUCGGGUUGUAAACCCCUGUUGCCCGGGACGAACAACACCAUUCGUGGUGUCUGACGGUACCGGGUGAGGAAGCACCGGCUAACUCUGUGCCAGCAGCCGCGGUAAUACAGAGGGUGCGAGCGUUGUCCGGAAUCACUGGGCGUAAAGGGCGCGUAGGCGGUCUGCUAAGCGUGUGGUGAAAGCUCGGGGCUCAACCCCGAGUCGGCCGUGCGAACUGGUGGACUCGAGCAUGUCAGAGGCAGGCGGAAUUCCGGGUGUAGCGGUGGAAUGCGUAGAGAUCCGGAAGAACACCGGUGGCGAAGGCGGCCUGCUGGGACAUGGCUGACGCUGAGGCGCGACAGCGUGGGGAGCAAACA
This 419-nucleotide ribosomal RNA is filed under the name uncultured Roseisolibacter sp. RNAcentral describes it as "bacterial SSU rRNA". It matches the Rfam family "Bacterial small subunit ribosomal RNA", at positions 355 to 774 of the family's 1533-position model. The record is from RNAcentral. Lineage: Bacteria; Pseudomonadati; Gemmatimonadota; Gemmatimonadia; Gemmatimonadales; Gemmatimonadaceae.